UCCCUGGUGGCUCAGAGGAUAAAGCGUCUACUUGCAAUGCAGGAGACCCAGGUUUGAUCCCUGGGUUGGGAA
This 72-nucleotide transfer RNA is filed under the name Bos taurus (domestic cattle). It matches the Rfam family "tRNA". From Rfam's summary of the family: Transfer RNA (tRNA) molecules are approximately 80 nucleotides in length. Their secondary structure includes four short double-helical elements and three loops (D, anti-codon, and T loops). The record is from Rfam by way of RNAcentral. Lineage: Eukaryota; Metazoa; Chordata; Mammalia; Artiodactyla; Bovidae. RNAcentral also lists the same sequence under 5 other names.